GAUGUUUACCUGUCUGUGGCCAGAUGUUCUGGACAGCAGAAAGCCACACUGGGAAAAAGACUGAGGAAGAAAGGACAGGAUCAGAAAACAAUGCCAGGAGAUAGACAGAUAACAGCUUGAAGACAUGGUGCACGAAGAACUGCUGAAGGUGCUCAUUGGCAAUGUUAAUGCAGAGCUGCUCAAAGCUUUUGGGGGACAAGAUGGGAACCCACAGUCAUCCUUGGCCAGUGCUGCACUGAUUUAUGGUGCAGGAUUGCAGCCAACAGCUUGCUGAUGUCCCAGUGCUCAGAAUCUGAGAAUGUGAGGAUCUUCAUAGCUGAGCGGAUGUGAGCAUAAUCCUUUGCAUCAUUCCGGCCAUCACAGAAUGUGCAGUUGCCCUGCAAGACACCACACCUGCAGGUUCAAUGUAGAUGCUGUAGCUGUAUGAUGGGAAAGGCAACAAAAGGCCUCCAUGCAGGAGACAGCUUCCUGGGCCUCCUGCUGCGGUUCCAUAUCCGAAUCAGAGAUAAGUCAUGGCAACUAAUAGCUGGGGGUAAUGUGCGUUUAUCCACAUUACGUAGAUGUGUUUUAAUAUUAGCCUCCUUACCUGAGGGUUUUGUUAAGUUUUACAGCAGAAAUGAAGAUACAGAUGCAGAAAUACAGCAUAGGUCCUUCAGGGCUUGGAGACUUUCAGAGGGAGGCAAAAAAUCACCAGGCAGCGAAGAGAGCUUCCUUAAUGUUUCUAUCUGUGCAAAUCAUUCUUACUCAAGGAUUUUGCCUCAAAGUAAUUCUUUAGCAAACUUAUUUCUGAUACAAGAGUUUUUAGAAGUCUAUAUGUUGUGUGGGAUUAACAAAAUUUUAAGUACUAAUUUUGUUAGAUGAAGGCCAAAUAUUGGCAAAUAAAUCAAAGUGCAUACUUUUAUGUUAUCAAGGCAGAUAUCUAAACUCAGAGCUUUUUGUGUAAUGAGACU
This is a long non-coding RNA of Pezoporus occidentalis (night parrot), 950 nucleotides long. RefSeq lists it as uncharacterized. The transcript has 4 exons. The record is from RefSeq and is a predicted model, not a curated record. Lineage: Eukaryota; Metazoa; Chordata; Aves; Psittaciformes; Psittacidae.